Molecule: long non-coding RNA, 739 nt
Organism: Cyprinus carpio carpio
Lineage: Eukaryota; Metazoa; Chordata; Actinopteri; Cypriniformes; Cyprinidae
Source: Ensembl
AGAACCACACUGAUCAAACAGAUGAUCAGACGAACCGUUAUACACGUAAAGAGUUGACAAAUCCAGACACCACAGGGCUGGGAGUGACCCCUAAAGAAACAGCAACAAGCAAAGCAGUCACUCCAGUACACGCCACCACAAACAACGAGUCUAUAGACUGGCUGAUCAUUUUACUCGUCAUUUUGGCCGUUUUUUUCAUUCUGCUUGUCUGUGUUAUGGUAGCCAACAGAAAAAGAUGGUGUGGCAAGAAACAGACUCUGAUUAUUACAAAAGAGAGCAAAAGUGAAGAAAAUGCUGCAGCAGCUUCAUUGAUUAAGGAGCAGGAGAUGGUCAAACUCGUGAACACUGAGAAGAUCGGAGAGGAUUUAGAGUGUAUCAGCAUCAGUCCAGAGAAGUGAACAGAGACAACCUAGAAGGCAUGAAAGGAGAACACAAGCAGUUUUACGCUGACAACUUACAAUACCGAGGAAUAUGCCUCCAUUAAUGCUGAACUAAUGCACAGACAAUCUUUAGAUAGUGUAUGAUUUAUGACGAUCUAAGCCAUACAUUUACAAUUACAUCAGCAUAUGAUAAAGUGUAUGAUUAAUAGAUUAAUACAUAUAGGAAUUGCUAUUAAUUAAAUGUGUCAUCAUGGAUUAAUUCACUAUCAACAUCUAGCAUUAACUAAUAGUGUAAAUCAAUGUGUUAAUUACCAAAGCCAUGUAUUCCAAUUUCCAGUUGUCUAAUUUAAAAAAAUUGU